RNAcentral lists this ribosomal RNA (253 nucleotides) under uncultured bacterium. Its description in RNAcentral is "partial 16S ribosomal RNA". It matches the Rfam family "Bacterial small subunit ribosomal RNA", at positions 524 to 776 of the family's 1533-position model. The record is from RNAcentral.
UACGUAGGUGGCAAGCGUUGUCCGGAUUUAUUGGGUUUAAAGGGUGCGUAGGCGGCUUUAUAAGUCAGUGCUGAAAUAUCCCGGCUUAACCGGGAGGGUGGCAUUGAUACUGCGGGGCUAGAGUACAGAUGAGGUAGGCGGAAUUGACGGUGUAGCGGUGAAAUGCUUAGAUAUCGUCAAGAACACCUAUAGCGAAGGCAGCUUACUAGGCUGUAACUGACGCUGAGGCACGAAAGUGUGGGGAUCAAACAGG